RNAcentral lists this ribosomal RNA (531 nucleotides) under uncultured bacterium. Its description in RNAcentral is "partial 16S ribosomal RNA". It matches the Rfam family "Bacterial small subunit ribosomal RNA", at positions 355 to 874 of the family's 1533-position model. The record is from RNAcentral.
UGGGGAAUAUUGCACAAUGGGCGCAAGCCUGAUGCAGCCAUGCCGCGUGUGUGAAGAAGGCCUUCGGGUUGUAAAGCGCUUUCAGCGAGGAGGAAGGUGGUGAACUUAAUACGUUCAUCAAUUGACGUUACUCGCAGAAGAAGCACCGGCUAACUCCGUGCCAGCAGCCGCGGUAAUACGGAGGGCGCAAGCGUUAAUCGGAAUUACUGGGCGUAAAGCGCACGCAGGCGGUUUGUUAAGUCAGAUGUGAAAUCCCCGGGCUCAACCUGGGAACUGCAUUUGAAACUGGCAAGCUAGAGUCUCGUAGAGGGGGGUAGAAUUCCAGGUGUAGCGGUGAAAUGCGUAGAGAUCUGGAGGAAUACCGGUGGCGAAGGCGGCCCCCUGGACGAAGACUGACGCUCAGGUGCGAAAAGCGUGGGGAGCAAAACAGGAUUAGAUACCCUGGUAGUCCACGCUGUAAAACGAUGUCGAUUUUGGAGGUUGUGCCCUUGAGGCGUGGCUUCCGGAGCUAACGCGUUAAAUCGACCGCCU